Molecule: long non-coding RNA, 3281 nt
Organism: Xenopus laevis (African clawed frog)
Lineage: Eukaryota; Metazoa; Chordata; Amphibia; Anura; Pipidae
Exons: 5
Source: RefSeq, a predicted model, not a curated record
UAAGUUAUUAUUUGAAAGUCUAGAAAGGGCAUUGUAGCUACGGAAGCCUAAGAGGUUUAGCAACAUGAGCGUGAGAAGGGAAUAUGUCCUUCUGAACCAAUUCACGCUAAAUGUUUUCCGAUAUCAGAAACAAUGAAAAGACACACUUUGCCAGGAUCCAUUCAGAAGCAUUUCAAACUAGAGUAAAAAACUUGAUAUCAGCUACAGAUGAACCUGACACACUAUACAAGAAAAUAGAAGUGCUGGCAAAAAAAAAAAAAACUGUUCAGUUACAAAUACUUUGCUGUCCUUGCUGCCAAAGAACUUGGGAUUAAUGUGGAAAAAGUGGCGUUACCUGAUCCAGUUGGCAACAUAGCGUUCUCAUAGGCACUGCUGUUGUGUGGGGUUUACCAAAAGCUGUCCUGCAGAGAAACAAAAAUCUUGCAGAAUGCUUUGGAUAGGAAAUGAGGGAUAAUUACCUCUUCACAGCAAGAACCUGACAGCCUCUUUUUACGUCAAAUCCAUGGCACUUCAGUGCCAGACCGGUACAUGGCAUGACUCAUACACCCCUACAAUAAGUGCACUGUGAAAGUUUAAUGUCUGGAUACCUUUUAUAGAGCACUAGAAAGAGUUUGUUCACUGUUAGUGCUGUGAAAUCAUUAGGACUUCAAGCAAUACUGCUGUGUAAAAAGGUGAAGGCUUUUGGAGAGUUAUUAUGGUUUCAUAGAAGGUUUGCAAUUUGUAAAUGUUCUUACUUUGUCUUUGAAAUCAUUUUAUGUUAAAAUACUUUUUUUGCCUGAAAUAUUCAGAGCUGGAAAUGGGCUUUUCCAGGUUUUUGAAAAAAAAUGAAAAAAUUGGAUUGAUUUCCUCAAGUGCACUAGUAAUCUGAUCUGGGGUAUUUCAUCUUUAAAAAUUACUUUUAGCAUGAUGUAGCCAGUGAUAUUCUGGGACAAUAUGCAUUUGGUCUUAAGUUUAUUCUGGGCUUUGCAUUAUUUAGCUCUUUGUUAAGCAACACUUUAUCUUGAAACUUUAACCACUAUUUAAUUGCUUGGGUCCAGUGUAUGCUAGCAUUGUAAGACUCUGCUGCGGCUUGAACCAGUACCUUCUGCUUGUUGGCUGUGCACCUUAACCACUGGGCCGGUAAAACAGCUAGCAUGUGCUCAUCUCCCUUACACCUAUUUCCCUGGCUGUGUUGUAUUACUGCAGCAGCCUUAUUGGUUGGGUGGGUCAGCCAAUCAGGGCUGGCUCUGCCCUAUAUUAGCCCAGUUUUUCCUCACAGCUAGGGUCAGAGCAUUGGCCUGUGUACUUAAGCACUGCAUGACCCUAACUCUUCUGUUCCUUGCUCUGGCUGAUGUUCCUGCUCUAGUCCUGCAUCCUGACCUGUUCUUUUUCCUACUCCUGGUUGACUCUUGUUCCUACUCUAGUUCUGUUCAUGUUUCCUGCAUUUAGUUCUGUUCCAUUCCGGUCCUUUUCCCUUUCUCUUCACUCGCACCUUCCUUUCCUGCUAAACCUAUUCCUGAUUUUUUGUCUGCUCCACUCUGUUCAGUCACAGAUUAUUAUUUACAGGAAACCAGAAGUACAAUUUUAAAGAUGGUGGCAACAAAGGAUAAGCAGAACAACAAAGCUGACGUGUAUUAAGUUAGUAUUAUUAAGGGGUGUUGUACUAGCAUUUGAGGAGGAUGAAAACCUUCCCCUCUCCUUCAAAAUAUGAUGGUAAUUUAAGGUGAUAAGAGUGAUCUCUAUAUGUGCAUAUAAUUUACCAUGCUUCUUUUGCUGUGCACUUUUACUUUUCUGUUGUAGGCAUGUGGGCCAAAGCCUACAACUACUCCUUUCUAGCAGGCAAAUACUUCAUCAGGAGAUAAAAAAAAACAAACGGCAGUUAAACGUAUACGGUUUACACAUUUACAAGGUUUCAGUAAAAAUUCUCUAAAAUUCAAUAAAAAUGUAAUAUGUAAAAAAAAAAAAACAACAAAAUAGGCAGUUGAUGAUGCGAGUGGGUUGUAUAGUUCUUUGUAAUGGAAACUCCUUUUUUUAAUGCAAGAUUUGUUUUUUCCCAAACAACUUUGUACUAGACAACUAAGUUACUAUAGAGUAACAGAGUAAAAAAUCACUGGUUGCUGAAGAAUGGUAUUUAUGCAUAUUAAAGUUUUAAAAUAUGACUAUAAUGUUAGGAAAGGUGGGCAAGCUUUGGGUUACAAGUGGGCAGCUAUUGUACAAAUUACAUCAACAUUCCUUUUAGCACUUCUCCUCCUCCCUUUCCCUUCUUAGCUCAAUUUCUUUAGCUUCUAGCUCUCCAUUAUAAUGCAGUGGUGAGUCUUUCAUUCAAACCUAUUUAUAGCAAACAUUCCAUUGCAUUAGCGAUUGACAAAAUGAGAAAAACAAGGGGGAGUGAUUUUCAGGCAUAUUUUCAUAAGGUGACGAGAACAAGGCUAUAGCAAAGGCAGCAAAGGAGGUCAUUAAAAAAAGAUGUCUGUGUUACCAUCUAAGUAGGAGGAAAGCCACUGGUAUAUUGGUGCUGUGAAACACUAGUCUGACUCUAGUUCUAUGGUAAAUUUCUAGAGAGCUGAGAAGGUAGUGCUCUGUGGACUGCUAUAAUGGAAAAAAAAAUAAAAAAGGUCACAUCCAAUUGUUGCAUAUAUUUUUAUACAGAAUCACAAACAAGUCUAUGCAUGUAGCUGUAUAACUGAAUAUACAUACAGGCGGUGCUCCUGUUGCUUAUAGAAAGACUGCAAUAGAAGAGCUCCAAUAAGAUAUUAUCCAAAUAGAGCUUCUUAUUAAGAUCUCAGCAAAUGGUAUAUCACCACAUACAACCAAUUUUAGUUUUACUGUAUAUUUAAUGUGGAGACGUCAUGUUUUGUUUAUACAUGCUGAAUAUGCAUGCAUAGUUUAUAUAUAUAACUUUUUUUUUUUUUUUUUUUUCAAAUUACCAGUAUUCACUAGUGAUUUGUUUGCUUGCUGACAACUGUUUGGAGAAUCUGUGCAUGGUUCAUUGAGUGCUGAAUCUGUGCAAGAGAACAUUACUCUCAGGGGCAGCAAAAUUGGAUUUAAGCAGACGUUUAUCUUUACUCUGCAGUUUGGGAAUUCCAAACAAGGAAAUAAAAAUCAACAAUAGGAAGAACUUAUGUUUCUCAUUCUGUCAAACAGCAUGGUCAGACUGAUAGCAUACAGUGUAGUACUUAGAAAACCAUUUUCAGUCCUCUAACAGAGUAGUAAAAUGGAGAAUCGACUAAUGUAAAAUCGUCUGGGAAACAGGAUUUGAUGUUCUCUUUUGCACUGGUUACUAUAAUAAAAUUUGUGUAUGG